Molecule: ribosomal RNA, 496 nt
Filed under: uncultured bacterium
Lineage: Bacteria
Description: partial 16S ribosomal RNA
Rfam family: Bacterial small subunit ribosomal RNA
Source: RNAcentral
AUGAACGCUGGCGGCGUGCCUAAUACAUGCAAGUCGAGCGAACAGACGAGGAGCUUGCUCCUCUGACGUUAGCGGCGGACGGGUGAGUAACACGUGGAUAACCUACCUAUAAGACUGGGAUAACUUCGGGAAACCGGAGCUAAUACCGGAUAAUAUAUUGAACCGCAUGGUUCAAUAGUGAAAGACGGUUUUGCUGUCACUUAUAGAUGGAUCCGCGCCGCAUUAGCUAGUUGGUAAGGUAACGGCUUACCAAGGCAACGAUGCGUAGCCGACCUGAGAGGGUGAGCGGCCACACUGGAACUGAGACACGGUCCAGACUCCUACGGGAGGCAGCAGUAGGGAAUCUUCCGCAAUGGGCGAAAGCUUGACGGAGCAACGCCGCGUGAGUGAUGAAGGUCUUCGGAUCGUAAAACUCUGUUAUUAGGGAAGAACAAAUGUGUAAGUAACUAUGCACGUCUUGACGGUACCUAAUCAGAAAGCCACGGCUAACUACGUG